This 73-nucleotide transfer RNA is filed under the name Batrachochytrium dendrobatidis JEL423. Its description in RNAcentral is "tRNA-Arg (CCT) (tRNA-Arg-CCT-1-1)". It matches the Rfam family "tRNA". Rfam says of the family: Transfer RNA (tRNA) molecules are approximately 80 nucleotides in length. Lineage: Eukaryota; Fungi; Chytridiomycota; Chytridiomycetes; Rhizophydiales. RNAcentral also lists the same sequence under 1 other name. The record is from RNAcentral.
GCCCGGCUGGCGCAAUGGAUAGCGCAUCCGCCUCCUAAGUGGAAGGUUGCAGGUUCGAGUCCUGCGUUGGGCG